GACGAACGCUGGCGGCGUGCUUAACACAUGCAAGUCGAACGGAAAGGCCCUGCUUUUGUGGGGUGCUCGAGUGGCGAACGGGUGAGUAACACGUGAGUAACCUGCCCUUGACUUUGGGAUAACUUCAGGAAACUGGGGCUAAUACCGGAUAGGAGCUCCUGCUGCAUGGUGGGGGUUGGAAAGUUUCGGCGGUUGGGGAUGGACUCGCGGCUUAUCAGCUUGUUGGUGGGGUAGUGUCUUACCAAGGCUUUGACGGGUAGCCGGCCUGAGAGGGUGACCGGCCACAUUGGGACUGCGCUACGGCCCAGACUCCUACGGGAGGCAGCAGUGGGGAAUAUUGCACAAUGGGCGGAAGCCUGAUGCAGCAACGCCGCGUGCGGGAUGACGGCCUUCGGGUUGUAAACCGCUUUCGCCUGUGACGAAGCGUGAGUGACGGUAAUGGGUAAAGAAGCACCGGCUAACUACGUG
Molecule: ribosomal RNA, 468 nt
Filed under: uncultured bacterium
Lineage: Bacteria
Description: partial 16S ribosomal RNA
Rfam family: Bacterial small subunit ribosomal RNA
Source: RNAcentral